RNAcentral lists this long non-coding RNA (218 nucleotides) under Panax ginseng (ginseng). Its description in RNAcentral is "long non-coding RNA (PGIN_LNC007163)". The record is from RNAcentral. Lineage: Eukaryota; Viridiplantae; Streptophyta; Magnoliopsida; Apiales; Araliaceae.
AGAAAACGAAAAGAAUAAGUUGUUUAUAAAUAACGGCGUAGUUGUUACCGUUAAUACUGUUAGAAUACCCGGUGGUUUAAACACAGUAGCACACGGUAUUGCACCAAUUAUUGAUUCUUACGUAAGAAGGCAUUACUCAAUAAUUGUUACAGUAAUUACUGUUCAAUAUUAUAUUUUAUUGAUUCAAUAAUUGCUACGUUGAUAUUAUUGUUGUUUUA